Molecule: long non-coding RNA, 1953 nt
Organism: Anolis carolinensis (green anole)
Lineage: Eukaryota; Metazoa; Chordata; Lepidosauria; Squamata; Anolidae
Exons: 2
Source: RefSeq, a predicted model, not a curated record
CACCUACUUCAGUGUAAUGGGUCCCUUCCACUUCUGAGUCAGCAAUCAAGUGACAUCGGGGGCAGGAUUUUUUUUCCAGAUUCACUCUGCUCCCUCCUUCUCACUGGUCUCAAGAAGUUGUUUUUCUGAUUAUUUGUGUUUCAUAGUUAUAUCUGAGCAAUUGCAAAAUUGCUCUAAAAAUAAAAAAUAAAAAAUUACAGAAGUGAAAAAAUGGGGUAACAAGGGUAUUUAGGGUAUGACCACAGGACCUCAAAUAGUUGAAUUGUAACAAUUGUGCAUAUGAAGAGAGAUGCAACAUCAAAGGUACUCAUCCAAGUAUGUAUUCAUUGAUAGCACAACUGCAAUGGAAUAGCUUCAUGCAAUAAAGCCUUUAGUCUGAACUUCAAAUAUAGUGUCCAAGGUACUGAACUCUAUUCCUGUAAAUAGGGAGAGAAUAUUGGAUAGCUUCUUUAAAUUUCAGACUAAAACAUAUAGAUUUGCCGCCCCUCAGAGAAGAAGCUGCUAGUUUCUAUUGCUUCAAACGUCUUUGAGCAGAGUCUGGACAUGACCCACCAAUCCUGUUGUUUCUCAGCAAGCCCAAUGGAAAAAUGACUUGAUGUGGCCCAAAAGGCAGCCUUUUAAAGAAUUCUUCUCUUUUGGUUUAAAUUAGCAAGAAGCAACAGAGAAGCAGUAUAAAAAGUAUGGACAGUUAUUACAGUUGUGCUCUCCCCAAAGUGUUAUUUCACAAUCUUAAACCUAUAAAAUUCAAUCACAUGGUAGCCUGAGAGAAAACUCUGAAGGAGUCAAUUUAUUUGGAACUUCCCCAGACAUAUUUCAGUCUUGAUUGGACAUCCUGAUAUACAACAUAAAAUUUUAUAUAGGUUAUUUGAUACUCAUGGUCCAUGAAUUAUAUAGGAUGAUUUUUGAUAUAUUCAGUGCCUUUCUAGCAAACUGCAAUAUGCCUUGAAGCAUGCAGAGAUUUCUGCUACAUUUGCAGCAAAUCCCUUAUGGUUAGACAGUUCUAGAGAUAGGUUAUAUACAUAGCAACUACUGAAUCUUUGAAGAAAUGAUAAAUGAGAGUGCAAUGAUAAAGGAAAUGUUCCUUUUACAGUUGCAAUUGUGUGUGUGUGUGUGCCUUCAAGUUGCCUGUUGACUUACAGUGCUCCCAUUAAUUUCAUAGGGUUUUCUUAGGCAAGGGAUACUCAGAGCACCAGGCAUUUCUUGGCAGUCUCCCAUUCAAGUACUACUCAGGGUAAACCUUGCUUACUUUCAAGAUCAGAUGGAAUCUGGUGACUUUAGUGUAUUUAAGUUAGUACUUCAAUGGUAUACUGCCAACACAAAAUUGUUAAAUUACUAGCAGCUUGGAAGGGCUGCCUUCUUUGUAUCUUGAUAGUCUCUGUAUUCAGCAUUAGACACCACAUAGAUAUCUUUCAUUCAUUUCAGGUAACUAAAAUUUGGAGCUAUUAACCAUGGAACCUUUGCUGGAAUUCAGAUGGGAUCUAUAAAUUAAGGAAAACAGAAGGGUAUGAAAAUGAGAAUGGAAGAGAGAAGAAAUAGUACAAAAGCAUGAGAAGCAUUUUCAGUAUGCUAUAUGAGAAAUUGGCCUUUAAAUAUUGAUGCAGUUGUUAUCUUCUCUCCAAAGUUCAAAACAGAUAUGAGGUGAAGGAAUGAAGCAAUGGAGGUGGAAUUUCCCACCUUUAUUCUGGCUGCAGCUAGCAGAGUGACAGGUGCUUUUAUUGUUGCCUUCUCUACUGAUGUGACUUGUAUUUUAUUACACCAUUUUCUUCUCUUCAAGUCCCCCACAUCUAGCCAGCCUUAUAAUCUACAGUUGCAGUUGCAGUAGUAGUUGCAGUUGCAGUCCCAGGAUAUCAUCUUAGAGGAAAUAGAGUCACCUCAGUUAAGAGCCACUUUAUCAAUGCAGGAGAAUGAACUAUCCCUCCAUAUUUUUUUUUAAAUAAAGGCAUGAGGAAACAA